This 387-nucleotide ribosomal RNA is filed under the name uncultured bacterium. RNAcentral's name for it is "bacterial SSU rRNA". It matches the Rfam family "Bacterial small subunit ribosomal RNA", at positions 30 to 419 of the family's 1533-position model. The record is from RNAcentral.
AUUGAACGCUGGCGGCAUGCCUUACACAUGCAAGUCGAACGGCAGCACGGGAGCAAUCCUGGUGGCGAGUGGCGAACGGGUGAGUAAUAUAUCGGAACGUGCCCAGUCGUGGGGAUAACGUAGCGAAAGCUACGCUAAUACCGCAUACGAUCUAUGGAUGAAAGCGGGGGAUCGCAAGACCUCGCGCGAUUGGAGCGGCCGAUAUCAGAUUAGGUAGUUGGUGAGGUAAGGCUCACCAAGCCGACGAUCUGUAGCUGGUCUGAGAGGACGACCAGCCACACUGGGACUGAGACACGGCCCAGACUCCUACGGGAGGCAGCAGUGGGGAAUUUUUGGACAAUGGCGCAAGCCUGAUCCAGCAAUGCCGCGUGCAGGAUGAAGGCCUUC